Limulus polyphemus (Atlantic horseshoe crab) is the source of this 964-nucleotide long non-coding RNA. RefSeq lists it as uncharacterized. The transcript is spliced from 3 exons. The record is from RefSeq and is a predicted model, not a curated record. NCBI's taxonomy places the organism in Eukaryota, Metazoa, Arthropoda, Merostomata, Xiphosura, Limulidae.
UAAUAUGUGAUCAAUAUGCCUAGAUUUUUCAGGGGACCUGGUCCUUUUGGGCCCUCUUGGCUACGCCUCUGUAAAACCCGGGGUUCGAUUCUCCGCGGUGGACACAGCAGAUAGCCCAAUGUGACUUUGCUCUACAACAAACAAAGAAAAUUUUUCAUUAAGAAGAGCGUCUAAAUUGUUAAUUUCAAAACAGUUCUUAUAUUUCAGCGACACCUGGUAGUUAAAGUUAUUGCUUACGAAGUCACUUAAUAACAAGUUGAAUGAAAUGGAGUGCAAUGGUAUUAAUAUUACUAACUACAGUUAAUUAAAAGAACCUUGUGUUAAAUGGUAUCCAAGAAGGUGUUAUCCGUGAUGGCUGAUAAAUUGUUAUACUUGGUAUUUAACAGAUACUGAACCAGGUGAAAUGGAAAAACUUGUGUAAAAGAAUGAAGGAUUUUGGACAAUUUUUCACGCCUCGUCUUGUUUAACAAAUUGUGUAAGGUGAUAUUUGUUCAUACCUGAAUAAUGUGUUAAUUGUAUUUUUUACAUCAGAACAAAAAUAUGAAAGAUUUGGUUCUGAUGGAACCCAAAGAUCCUGCAUUUUUGUCGAAUCAAGAACUUCGAAUUCAACUGGAGAAAUAUGGAGAAACUGUUGGACCUGUUACAAACUCAACAAGAAGAGUUUUUGAGGGUUUGUUGAACAGGAUUAGGAAUAGAGAACGUUUAAGUUGUUCUAAUGCAUGCCAGAAUCCUCUUGAUGAACAGCAUUCUCAUUUAACCAUUGAGUGCUCUACUGAAGGGACCAACUCUUCCAGGAAGAGUGAUGGCUCCCAAGAUUGCUAUAAACAAAAUGGUCCUCUCAAAACUUUUUCUGUAAAUGCAUGUGAAAAGUUGAGCUCAUCAGAGGAAACUUCAGGAGAGGAUUCAAGCUCACCAUCAUCUUUUUAUGGAGUUAGUUUACCUCCUGGGACAUCAUGCAGUGAUG